CCAGAUCUCAUACUGCAGGACACACAGUCAUCACAUGAGGAGAUAAUUAGAAUUUCUCUUUGCUCAAAUCUUAUACCAUGCUGAUUACCAUGUUUUCUGAAAAUGCACCUUAAAUGCACUAAAAGUUAAACUGUGUCUUUUUUUUCUCUCUCCCUACCCUGCAUCUCUUCUCAGGAAUUGCUUCCUGUCUAUUUAUCUUCUGUCCAGGACCACUCAACAGGUCAUGUAUGCUUUAGAGAAUGUUUUCCUUCAAUUGAAGCUUCGGACCUUUCAUUGGUCCUUGCCAGCAGCAAUAUAAGUGGUUUGACAGAGCAACAGAUGUGUGACAGCAUUUACGCAAGGAAUAGUUUCCUCCCUUUCUGGAGGCACUUCAUACAUUCACAAACUGGUCAAAUUUGUUUUGUAAUGCACUGGUCCAUCAUUUAGUGAAAGUGAGUUAGCAAUUUCCAAGGUAAUUCCCCUAUUUUCCUGUGAACAGCUCUGACAGGAGCCCCCGGGGAAAUAACCAUUAAGCAAACAUCUGUGUACUUCCUAUCUGUCAACAUCUCAACAGCUUCAGAAGUGGGGGCUGACAUGACGGACCUGCCAGCUUUACCAGAGCCCAAAUUCUGAGGCAGCUGAGAUUAGCAGAAACUCUGAACUGCACAAAGUAGCAAAUUGCUGUUUUCCUAAAUGUAUUUUGUUCGUCUUGAUACAAUAUAUGUCAAUUUUUACAAUAAAAAAUCUCCCUUGAGAAUCGGCUGCAGGAUUAGCAUUGUCAUCUGUCUAGUGAUGAUACAUUGUACUGUCAACUUGUCAAAAUGAUUAACUGAACUAAAAAGCUAAAUUUUUAGUACUUUCAUGAUAAAUUAAAUGCAUAGAGGGUUCUUUCUGUUUGCCAGCAUCUGCUAUGUUUUAGUAAUUUGGCUCUGAUGAUGGAGGGAAAAGGAAAAACAGAGUGGGGAGAAAGACAGGUAAGGAAAACCAUUAAUCUUGAGAAAAAUAAGACUGUGAUCUGCCCAUCAACCUUAAGAUUAAAAUCACUCAAAAAAACAACGGGCAAUUUUAUUUUCACUUAAGAAAAAAACAUUAAAGCAACCUGCUGCUUCACAUUCUCAGAAGUACAAUCUACAAAACACCUGUUACCUAAUGGCUUCUACAAUAUUUUCAGGGGAACAGAAUACGUUACUGAAUCUCCUUGCCAGCACUUCCAAACUACACCUGAAACACACCUUUGCAUAGUGCCUAGCAGAGAAUAUUUUCUUCAGUUAGACAGCUAACAAAACUGCCAUGUUUUGUCACCCUUAACAUAUACUAAACCCAGGGAUGUGCCGCAAGUGACAUUAGUGACAGAGACUGUACUGCAGUUACCUCAAUACAAAUUUGUAAUCAAGUUGAAAGCAUUCAGUAUUUUGGAUAUAGAUAUUACACAAGCAUCUCAGUGGAAUAAAAGUCAACCAUUACAUUUGAUGCAGGACUGCUACAGGCAGCCAUGGGCAUUCUCUGAUGGUGUUUUAGCAGUAGGCACAUAAAUCUAUGUCUUGCCCAAGACAGCAUGGUUGAUUUGGUUUGCCCACUACCAUAACCAGUGCAGACAACUAGAGAUCAUAUUCAAUACAUAAAAUAUAGAUAUAUACCAGCUUCAGUGUUCAGCCAACUUUCAACUAACUACACAGCAAGCCACGAUUUGGCAGCCUUGGAAAGCAGAUGAUCUAAACUGUUUUGUCAUCUCCUGUCCUUAGAAACUGCUAUAGAUAGACACCAGCUUUACUUGUAGGUCAGUUGGUUGAUGUGGCACUGAAUAUUCAUGUUUCAUCAGCUCUUGUCUGUCUCAUCUCCUUCAGAGAGAAAAAAAUCCGUGCAACCUUUGCAAGAGCAUCUCCUUGACUAUGGAUUGUGACAGCCUGAAAUGAAGUGCCAGGCCCUUUCAUGAGCUUCUUCAUAUACAUAAAUCUGGUGAAAGGAUCAUUUUUUGACGAUGAUAGAUUGAACUUGAGAGUGGGAGAACAGAACUGUCACCGGCAGAAAGCCCUUCCACUCUGGAGUCACAAAAGGGGAUGAAAGCUGUCAGGAACAGGACAAGAAAGCAGGACCAUUAAACAUAUGGGAAAGAGUUAAGUGCACACAUCAACUGGAAAGCUGUUGACUGGGAAUAUUUGUAUACUCCUACUGUUACCUCCUGUGUUUUUGCUGAAAAACACAUUUCUUCUAACAGCCUCAAUUGCAAAGCAGUGCUUUUUUUAUCCUCCUACUAGGUUUUAACCUAGACAGUACUGUGACAACAUCAAAAGCAUAAGUAAUUCCUUUCCUCAUUCUAUUCACAUCCAAAGCUAGCAAUUUCCAUCUGAUAUUAUCACUAAUGACCAGGUAAAUCAAAAUAUAACUAUAAUGUAAGUUUAUAUACUUCUACGUACACUAUAUAGCUUAGAACAAGGCUAAAAGAUCACCAUGACAUAUAUUCCACUUAUAUUAAUAAACCCCCAUUUAUCUGUUUAUUAAUAGUGAAACUUUAGCUUAAAAAUACAUCUAUAAAAUAAAGUGUCACCUCCAUUUUGUGAUGCUGAAGUCUGAACAGUGUUAAGUAGCAAUAAAACUACACUAUGCCAGCACCUGGGCAAAAAUAUCUUUUCACCCAGCAGUUGACAAAGAAACGUGAUAAUGUCACAUCUGAAUUAAAGCAACAAGGAUAUUUAUGUAGAGGUCUAGCACAGAGCAUUCACCACAAAGAACACACCUGACAGAAAUCCAUCUAUUUGUACCACAAUCAUCUCCUUUCUUAAAAUACACAUCGUAAGUGUUCAUUUCAUUAGACUGUUGGAAAGCAAGACUUUUCAGUUCCUUAUAGUGGAUCAGUUUAAUACAUUGCAAUGAUGGAUUGAUAGCAAAUUGCCUUGUUAAACAGCAUGCACUUAUAGAACUGCAGCAGGCGGCCUCGGCUGUGCCUUAAGCGAAUUUCUAAUACUCUUACCAUGUCCCUCAUUGACAUAUGCAAGUAUUUUGUGUCUGAUCUCUUCAUACAUGUUGUGCCUAAUGAAACCAUUAAAUCAAACUGCAAAAGGGCUAUUUAUCAAAAAGUAAACACCUCUGAACAGAGCUCACACUUGGUCUCAUGCAUCUCCAAGGCUAAGGGCAAUUAGGAGUAAUCACUGAUAGAAUCAGUUUUAUAUGGCUUUGAAGCAGCAAUCCUGGAAGCUGUAACAAAGCUUACUACCUAAGAACACAACAGUCCAUGUUUUCAAAGCUCAAAAAUUCUCUGAAUCCAAUUAGGGAUCUCUCAUUAGCAAAGUGUGUGUGCAUGAAUACAGCUGAUUUGCUUGUAGCCAUUUGCCUACAUCAGGUAUGCAGAAAUAUGUGCAAGUAUGCGUGACCUACAAGGCAGAGGAGCCUUUGUAUUAAAUAAGCACAGCUAUGUCUCAGUCUGUGCUGCUGCCCUGUGCAUGAGCUCCAGGCAAUAGGUCACACAAUUUGAGAAUAACCGCUCCCUGGGAGCAGACACACCGGAGAGCAGUUACAUCUCCAUGAGGAUUUUAUCCCAAAGAAAAGAAGGCUCAGGGGUGACCUUAUUGCUCUCUACAACUACCCGAAAGGAGGUUGUAGCCAGGUGGGGUUGGCCUCUACUCCCAGGUAACAAGCAACAGGACAAGAGGGCAUAGGCUCAAACAGUGCCAGGGGAGGGAGAUUCAGGUUGGACAUCAGGAGGAAUUUCUUUACAGAAAGGGCUGUUAAACCUUGGAAUGGGCUGCCCAGGGAGGUGGUGGAGACAACAUUCCUGGAGGUGUUCAAGAAAUGACUGGACACGGCACUUGGUGCCAUGGUCUAUUUGCCAAGGUGGUGUUCGGUCAUAGGCUGGACUCAGUGCUGUCAGAGCUCUCUUCCAACCUAACUGACUCUGUGAUUCUGAGGAUGACCAAAUCCCUUGGCUAUUCAAUAGAUGUGCUUGCCUGGCUGGGGGCAGGUUGAUUACCUGCAUGUAGCACAUGCAGGCCCUGAGCAGCAGCCCCUGUCUUCUAAAAUCCACACCAUGAGGGGUAGCGAAGGACUACAAAUGAAACUGGGGACUGACAAGCAAGUCUCAGGCAAAAGCGUGUGUAUGACCUGACAGGUCUGAAAGUGUAAAAACUAUUCCACAGGGCACAGAAGCGUGGGUCAUCUCCAUUUCCUCCUCAACAAACACACAGUAGGAAAACUCAGAAUUUUCCUUUUUGCUUUUGCAGAGGAAAUAAUUAACUCACAAAUACACUCAGUGCCUUGAAGAAGUCAGUGAACACAAGGAUACCAGUGAUCUAGUUGGUAUAUUUAGAGUUUCCCAAAAGCUUUUGAUAAGGUUUCUCACAGAAUGUCACUCUGCUAUGGGCUACUACGAGAAACAGGAUACCAGAGUAGGGAAAUUGUAUCACUCACCAAAGACUCCAAGAAACUGAGCUAUCGUAGGGUAUAGAACGCCCCCUCACAAAGAAAUAAUGUUCAAAGGAUAGGAAACCAAGUAUACCUUUUAUAUUCUAACAAUACCUCCUCUUGCCAACUUGAUUUUGUUCCAGAGAUGGUGAUAUUUCAGUGCUAAGCAAUACCACUAUCUCUCUUAUGCACAGGGCAUGAAUCUUCACAUCCAAAAAACCCCAGGGAGGUGUUUGAUCAAACAGAGUCACAAAUUUGUUUCCACAAACACACUGGUAACAACCAACCCAUGGCCCCUCUGCAAGCCACAGGGGAGCCUGGGCAGCAGUCAGUUUGUUGCUGAGGGGGGUGAAGACUUGUGAAUAUUUUACUUUCUCUCAGUCACGCAGUCUUCAAGAAAAAAAGCUUAGCAAUGUAAACAUCAACCUUCAAGUUGAUGUUUACCACCUUAAAAAGCAGAUGACAAAGAACAGUCAUUCAUAAAUGGGACUAAAGUUGGCACUGCACAGACUAGGCCCAGGUAACUUCCCAAUGACUCAGCUGCAACAAGGGAUAUUUUUGUGAUGCAUCUAUUCUUACGAAAUGGAACAUGCUUUUACCUACACACCUUGGUUCUGCUGAUGCUUUUGAAGCAAAACCCACACACUUUUCCAGCUACAGAAGGUCAGCACAUUACUGGGGGAGAAAAAGGGAAAAAGAAUGAGAAAUCACAGAAAUACAGAGACUCAAAAAAGAUCUUAUACAAUUAAUUUUUUUUUGCCUUGAGCUAUAAGUAGGCAACAAUUGCCUACUUUCCAGGAUGUUUAAUUUAAUUAACACAGCCUACAAGGAUAUUUAAGCAGUAGUUAAUAGAGGGUAAAUACAAAAUGAGUAAAUAACAGGUGUCCUGUUUAUGUGCAUUUUUCUUUGUAUUGUGAUGAUAAAAUGAUUGUGAUUUGGUCUGUAUCUUGUCUUUACAAUUCAUGCUCCACUGAUGUGUCAGGGUGUUUUAAGCUUCAACUGUCAAUGCUCAUUACUAGUAAGCCCAUCACAGAAUUAGAAACAACUUUGAAAUAAAUCUUCAGGCUGUACCACCCAAACUGACUGCACCCUACUGCUGUUUGGAAAGGCAGCUGUAUUUCCACUUCAGUCUGCACUCCCUUCAUAAGCCCUACCUACUGAUGAUUUUACAAGCCUAAGCCCGAAGAUAAACUGGACCAGAGCAAGAAGAAAGAAUAUUACUUCUUAGCUUUGCUCUCAUCCAACUCCUUUUUCUCCUUGCUAUGUUUUACUGUGUUUUUUCUUCUAGUAUAAUAUAUCCAGCACUUGCUACGAAUUGCGUUAUCUUGAACACAAUCAAAAUUCUUCGUGAAGGCCACAAUGAAAAUUUCCCAAAGGCCUCAAGAGGCCUCUGAUUUGUCAAGACAGAGCAAAAAAUCUUUGACUCUCUUUUCCACUUGGACACAUGGCCUGGGAAUGGCUUCAGCAUGCGCUUCUUCUCAUUGACCGGAUUAUACCGCUUUCUGUCUUACUUUGAGCCCGUGCCCUGUUAUGCAAAUACAAUUUCAAAAGUAAGGCUUCCUCGCCUCAGUAUUCCCACAUGUUGUGUCACAAUAUAGUAAGUGAGGUGAGUGGCAGCUUAUGCUUCAAAAUCCACACAUCUCCUUUUUAAAAUGAACAGCAGGAUCUGACACUUAAAAAAAUCUCACUUUUCUUCUUAAAAUCUAAUUAUAACUGUCAAAUGUAUUAACUAUUGUAUAACAAAUCGACACACAAAAGACAUUAAAUCCAAUUAUACUAUAGCAUUGUAUGGUUUUCGCUGGUACCUCAGCUUGAUUUUUCAACCUGGUAUCAUACUUCUUUUUUUGAGUUUGACCUCUCCACUUUCUAGGUAACAAAGGGUAUAUACAUUCAUGGAGGGAAUAGCAUGACACACAAAUGCUUAAAAGAUUACAUUAUAGAGAAAUGUAGUGUUGUUACUGGAGAACAGCCACUGCUUUAGGGCAUGAAGUUCUGAAAUCUGGGCAAGGCUUACAAAAAUUCUGUUCAAUAUGUGAGGCUGAUAAGAUAAAGGAAGAUAAAGGCCUAGUAUUCUGAAUCAAACAUUCAGUGCUCCCGCAUUUCAUGGUAGUCUGAUGAAAUCAAGUGCUAAAUCCUCUGAAAAAUCAAGCCUUUUUUCGGCUUGUUUGAAAACAGCAUCCCAAGUCUCAAAAUAUUUGCCCACUUUUUUCGUGAAAUGAAGUGAAAUAUUCAUCUGCUUCAUCCAGAGUGUACAGCAGCACAUCCUGGCAGCAACACCCCACAGCUGCUGUUCUCAACGUUCGCUGUAGUUUCGUGGAUGCCCACUGGCCUGAAAGUCACUGCGAAAAUCUCCGGCAUUUUCUAUGUUGAUAUUAAGACUGUCAUUAUGAGUUAACAUAUCAGUGAUGACGUUAUUUACUUCUUUGCCAUGACAAGAAUUCAGUACAGUUCUGCCAAAACUCUUCUAUUCACACAUGCAAUAUGUGAGCAGCAUCAGACAGGCUCUACCCUUAUUUUAACAAAACUACAGACAAGGAGUUAAGCACAAAAGAUCACUUUAUUUUUCAAAUCACACCCCUCUCAUUCUUGAAAAGGUGUAUUUCUAAUUGUCACUAUUUUAAAUAUACUCUAUAUUUUCCUGUGAAGUUAAAUACUUUGAAGAAGAAUCUCCAAAGAAAUAAAUACAAAGCACAACAGUUUCACUUUAUGAUUUGCUUUGAGCAUUGUCUGGUCCUGCAUCCACUCCGUCAAGUUUUGCUGUUCUUUGAAACUCUUGAAAAAGAAAUCCACAGUCAGCAUUCCUUGCUCUCCAGAGCCCUCUGCUUAUCAGCUGUUAAUACAAACUGUUAAUACAAUACCAGAGCAUGCACAAAAUAGCUUACAGCAGUUUAGUAAUUCUAAAACUUCCAUUACAAAUACAUAUGUUGCUACUAAAGAAACAACUGGGAUGCUUCUUUUCUGGAUGCUCAUAGAAAAUUCCAUGUUACAAAAUGCUUGUUUGAUGAUGUCCAUGUCUGCUGGUGAAAAGAAAAUCAGUACUAACUAGGUUUGCCAGCUUGUACAAUGGAUAACUUACAAAACCAGACAAUUCCCAAAGUUAUCAAAUGGAUCAACUGCAGCACAAUCUGCAACCAUCAUUUUACCUGAAACCUAAUUAGCCCAAAGGGUUGGUAAUGCACAUCCACUGCAGUAUAAAACGAUACCAAGGCCAUCAGAACACACCUUGUGGGGUUUAUUCUCAUAUGAUGAGCACUGUCCAGUGCAACAGCACAGCUCCUGCUCACAGCCAGGAAGGGAGGGCUGACGAUGCAGUUUUAUGGUGGUUGUCAUGGCAACGGAGAGGUGAAAGUAGUCCAGUGCAGGCAGCAUCAUGUCCCUUCAAAGAGAAAGUUAAACGCACUUCCCAUACCAGAAGUUGCGCUUCUGAAAAAGCUUUUCUUGAAAGAGGUAUCGGAGAGAGCCUGACUGGAUGUGGCUGUGAACUCAUCCCAGUUACGUCUCACCUGGGACAGUAUUCCUGAAAAUGCAAUCAUGGUCUGGCAGGCUGAUUUCGCUACAUACACAUGCACUUAAAGAACAUUCAAAGACUAUGAUAAAUUCUAAAAAUUACAGCUGCAACUCGUACCUGUUCACAACAAGGUCUGAGGUAGUUUAGAACCACUCUAUGAGAAAGAAGGAAAGGGAUUUAAUGCACAAAUAUUUCAAGAUACAAUUGCUACAAAGAAGGGGAGUGUAACAAAGUGUAAAACAGAUUUAGACUACUGUCUGCCAGGAAAGAGGAGCUAAACACAGAAAUAAGUGAAAAAGUUCACUAAAAGCUGAACUUCUAUUUAGCCUGGCUCUGAUCAUUAACAUUCACUACAAAAAAACAAAAACAAAAAACCACCAACAACAAUGAAAUUGAGCAAAGCAGAAAGGAAAUUUUACAAGAGAUUGGACAAGGUUAAUAGACAUAGGGUCCAAAUUGGGAAGUAGAACUGAACUUCACAAAAUGAAUCCAUGUGCUCAGCGCGACAUUUUGAUAUCUGACAGCCGAAAUACCUUCACACAGGGACACUGAAAAGUUACGAAUUCUUUCGAGAUUCACUUUUGAUGAUGCAGUUUAUUUAGAAAAGAACAUUUAUGUACAAUCAAUGCAUUAAACAAUGCAUAACUAACAAAUUGAGAACAUAUCUGGUGCAUCAGGGUGAGAAAGAAAUACUUACAUUUAUAUUUAAGUGUAAUUUAGAUUAGCCAGCACAAAACCUGACCUACUUCUUAAGUCAACAGUAAACUCCUUACUGAUUUUCCUCUUAAGGGUAACAGACUGUAAAUAGAUUAUGGAAGUACAAGGUCCAAAAAGGUUAGUAUUUUGCAUAUCCAUAGACAGCCAAAUUUAAAUGUUGCUCACUAGCACUUGACAGCCUAGUUGCAGUUGCCUUUAAAGUCUGAUGUGAAUGAAUGGGGAUGAGGAUAUUUUAUUCAGCAUAUGACAAAG
Myiozetetes cayanensis is the source of this 8851-nucleotide long non-coding RNA. RefSeq lists it as uncharacterized. The transcript has 2 exons. Lineage: Eukaryota; Metazoa; Chordata; Aves; Passeriformes; Tyrannidae. The record is from RefSeq and is a predicted model, not a curated record.